RNAcentral lists this ribosomal RNA (1507 nucleotides) under Lactiplantibacillus plantarum. RNAcentral describes it as "bacterial SSU rRNA". It matches the Rfam family "Bacterial small subunit ribosomal RNA". The record is from RNAcentral. Lineage: Bacteria; Bacillati; Bacillota; Bacilli; Lactobacillales; Lactobacillaceae.
GGCUAGAGACGCUGGCGGCGUGCCUAAUACAUGCAAGUCGAACGAACUCUGGUAUUGAUUGGUGCUUGCAUCAUGAUUUACAUUUGAGUGAGUGGCGAACUGGUGAGUAACACGUGGGAAACCUGCCCAGAAGCGGGGGAUAACACCUGGAAACAGAUGCUAAUACCGCAUAACAACUUGGACCGCAUGGUCCGAGCUUGAAAGAUGGCUUCGGCUAUCACUUUUGGAUGGUCCCGCGGCGUAUUAGCUAGAUGGUGGGGUAACGGCUCACCAUGGCAAUGAUACGUAGCCGACCUGAGAGGGUAAUCGGCCACAUUGGGACUGAGACACGGCCCAAACUCCUACGGGAGGCAGCAGUAGGGAAUCUUCCACAAUGGACGAAAGUCUGAUGGAGCAACGCCGCGUGAGUGAAGAAGGGUUUCGGCUCGUAAAACUCUGUUGUUAAAGAAGAACAUAUCUGAGAGUAACUGUUCAGGUAUUGACGGUAUUUCAACCAGAAAGCCACGGCUAACUACGUGCCAGCAGCCGCGGUAAUACGUAGGUGGCAAGCGUUGUCCGGAUUUAUUGGGCGUAAAGCGAGCGCAGGCGGUUUUUUAAGUCUGAUGUGAAAGCCUUCGGCUCUAACCGAAGAAGUGCAUCGGAAACUGGGAAACUUGAGUGCAGAAGAGGACAGUGGAACUCCAUGUGUAGCGGUGAAAUGCGUAGAUAUAUGGAAGAACACCAGUGGCGAAGGCGGCUGUCUGGUCUGUAACUGACGCUGAGGCUCGAAAGUAUGGGUAGCAAACAGGAUUAGAUACCCUGGUAGUCCAUACCGUAAACGAUGAAUGCUAAGUGUUGGAGGGUUUCCGCCCUUCAGUGCUGCAGCUAACGCAUUAAGCAUUCCGCCUGGGGAGUACGGCCGCAAGGCUGAAACUCAAAGGAAUUUGACGGGGGUCCCGCACAAGCGGUGGAGCAUGUGGUUUAAUUUCGGAAGCUACGCGAAGAACCUUUACCAGGUCUUGACAUACUAUGCAAAUCUAAGAGAUUAGACGUUCCCUUCGGGGACAUGGAUACAGGUGGUGCAUGGUUGUCGUCAGCUCGUGUCGUGAGAUGUUGGGUUAAGUCCCGCAACGAGCGCAACCCUUAUUAUCAGUUGCCAGCAUUAAGUUGGGCACUCUGGUGAGACUGCCGGUGACAAACCGGAGGAAGGUGGGGAUGACGUCAAAUCAUCAUGCCCCUUAUGACCUGGGCUACACACGUGCUACAAUGGAUGGUACAACGAGUUGCGAACUCGCGAGAGUAAGCUAAUCUUUUAAAGCCAUUCUCAGUUCGGAUUGUAGGCUGCAACUCGCCUACAUGAAGUCGGAAUCGCUAGUAAUCGCGGAUCAGCAUGCCGCGGUGAAUACGUUCCCGGGCCUUGUACACACCGCCCGUCACACCAUGAGAGUUUGUAACACCCAAAGUCGGUGGGGUAACCUUUUAGGAACCAGCCGCCUAAGGUGGGACAGAUGAUAGGGAAGUCGACAUU